This 488-nucleotide ribosomal RNA is filed under the name uncultured organism. Its description in RNAcentral is "bacterial SSU rRNA". It matches the Rfam family "Bacterial small subunit ribosomal RNA", at positions 30 to 507 of the family's 1533-position model. The record is from RNAcentral.
AUUGAACGCUGGCGGCAUGCUUUACACAUGCAAGUCGAACGGCAGCACGGGGAGCUUGCUCCCUGGUGGCGAGUGGCGAACGGGUGAGUAAUAUAUCGGAACGUGUCCAAUAAUGGGGGAUAACUAGUCGAAAGAUUAGCUAAUACCGCAUACGCCCUGAGGGGGAAAGUGGGGGAUCUUCGGACCUCACGUUAAUGGAGCGGCCGAUAUCUGAUUAGCUAGUUGGUAGGGUAAAAGCCUACCAAGGCGACGAUCAGUAGCUGGUCUGAGAGGAUGAUCAGCCACACUGGGACUGAGACACGGCCCAGACUCCUACGGGAGGCAGCAGUGGGGAAUUUUGGACAAUGGGCGCAAGCCUGAUCCAGCCAUGCCGCGUGAGUGAAGAAGGCCUUCGGGUUGUAAAGCUCUUUCGCAAGGAAAGAAAACUUACAUAUAAAUAAUGUGUGAGGUUGACGGUACCUUGAUAAGAAGCACCGGCUAACUACGUG